Auriculariales sp. MPI-PUGE-AT-0066 is the source of this 79-nucleotide non-coding RNA. NCBI's taxonomy places the organism in Eukaryota, Fungi, Basidiomycota, Agaricomycetes, Auriculariales. The record is from the annotation of a GenBank genome assembly.
GGUCGUGUAGCUCACUCGGCAGAGCAUUGCACAAACUUACCUACUGAUGCGAUCCCCAGUUCGAAUCUGGGCACGACCA